RNAcentral lists this ribosomal RNA (278 nucleotides) under uncultured Thalassovita sp. Its description in RNAcentral is "uncultured Thalassobius sp. partial 16S ribosomal RNA". It matches the Rfam family "Bacterial small subunit ribosomal RNA", at positions 29 to 334 of the family's 1533-position model. Lineage: Bacteria; Pseudomonadati; Pseudomonadota; Alphaproteobacteria; Rhodobacterales; Roseobacteraceae. The record is from RNAcentral.
AACGAACGCUGGCGGCAGGCCUAACACAUGCAAGUCGAGCGCUACCUUCGGGUGGAGCGGCGGACGGGUUAGUAACGCGUGGGAAUAUACCUAGUUCUAAGGAAUAGCCUCGGGAAACUGAGAGUAAUACCUUAUACGCCCUUCGGGGGAAAGAUUUAUCGGAAUUAGAUUAGCCCGCGUUAGAUUAGAUAGUUGGUGGGGUAAUGGCCUACCAAGUCUACGAUCUAUAGCUGGUUUGAGAGGAUGAUCAGCAACACUGGGACUGAGACACGGCCCAG